UGGCUCAGUGGUUAAGAGCACUGGCUGCUCUUCCAGAGGACCUGGGUUUGAUUCCCAG
Cricetulus griseus (Chinese hamster) is the source of this 58-nucleotide non-coding RNA. Lineage: Eukaryota; Metazoa; Chordata; Mammalia; Rodentia; Cricetidae. The record is from Rfam.